GCCAGUGUGGCAUAGUGGUUUGAGUGUUGGACUAUAACUGAAGACCAGGGUUCAAUUCCCAUUUGGCC
Molecule: transfer RNA, 68 nt
Filed under: Phrynosoma platyrhinos (Desert horned lizard)
Lineage: Eukaryota; Metazoa; Chordata; Lepidosauria; Squamata; Phrynosomatidae
Description: tRNA-OTHER
Source: RNAcentral